Molecule: ribosomal RNA, 404 nt
Filed under: uncultured bacterium
Lineage: Bacteria
Description: bacterial SSU rRNA
Rfam family: Bacterial small subunit ribosomal RNA
Source: RNAcentral
UAGGGAAUAUUGGACAAUGGGCGAAAGCCUGAUCCAGCCAUGCCGCGUGAGUGAUGAAGGCCUUCGGGUUGUAAAGCUCUUUUGGCGGGGACGAUAAUGACGGUACCCGCAGAAUAAGCCCCGGCUAACUUCGUGCCAGCAGCCGCGGUAAUACGAAGGGGGCUAGCGUUGUUCGGAAUCACUGGGCGUAAAGCGCACGUAGGCGGACUUUCAAGUCAGGGGUGAAAUCCCGGGGCUCAACCUCGGAAUUGCCUUUGAUACUGUAGGUCUCGAGUCCGGAAGAGGUGGGUGGAAUUCCUAGUGUAGAGGUGAAAUUCGUAGAUAUUAGGAAGAACACCGGUGGCGAAGGCGGCCCACUGGUCCGGUACUGACGCUGAGGUGCGAAAGCGUGGGGAGCAAACAGG